RNAcentral lists this ribosomal RNA (465 nucleotides) under uncultured bacterium. RNAcentral describes it as "partial 16S ribosomal RNA". It matches the Rfam family "Bacterial small subunit ribosomal RNA", at positions 338 to 795 of the family's 1533-position model. The record is from RNAcentral.
CCUACGGGUGGCAGCAGUGGGGAAUAUUGCGCAAUGGGCGAAAGCCUGACGCAGCGACGCCGCGUGAGGGAUGAAGGUCUUCGGAUCGUAAACCUCUGUCAGCAGGGAAGAACGGUCACUGUGCUAAUCAGCAGUGAAUUGACGGUACCUGCAAAGGAAGCACCGGCUAACUCCGUGCCAGCAGCCGCGGUAAUACGGAGGGUGCGAGCGUUAAUCGGAAUUACUGGGCGUAAAGGGCUCGUAGGCGGUAUGUCAAGUCAAGGGUGAAAUCCCCGGGCUCAACGUGGGAACUGCCUUUGAAACUGGCAGACUGGAGUGUGUGAGAGGAUGGUGGAAUUCCAGGUGUAGGAGUGAAAUGCGUAGAUAUCUGGAAGAACAUCGGUGGCGAAGGCAGCUAUCUGGCACAUAACUGACGCUGAGGAGCGAAAGCGUGGGUAGCAAACAGGAUUAGAUACCCUUGUAGUC